CGUACCCCCUCGGCUCGAUCUCCUCUUUCUCCUGCCCCCUCGCUAAAAAGAGGCUCAUUUCCCAAAAACUAAAAAAUCAUCACAGAGAGAACCCUGACAAAAUCUCCAAUGGCUAACCUCCUCCGUCCCGUGCAAAGAUCCCUUCCCCUCCUCAAUCGCCGCCUCCAGUCGCGCCCCUACUCCGCCUUCAACGACAACCUCCUUCGCAUCCUCAACAACGAGCUUGCCUAUCUCUCCGACUACCAACCCCCUCUCCAGCCCCCUCCUUAUUUCAGGUCUUUCUCCAUCGAUGACCGCCCCGGCGAGCAGUGGAUCAGGAUGAAGAGCUCGAACCCGGCGAAGAACGAGGAGAUUAAGGUCGACGCGGCGCUGUUCGAUGGAAUUGCCCCGAUCCCCGAAGCCAAGAAGGCGGUUUAUGAAGGGGAGGUGAGGUUGCACGUGAGCCUUGUGGUCGAGGUCUCGAAACGGGACGAUGAGGGUUCGGGUUCGGAUUCGGAUUCGGUUCUUGUGUUCAUUUGCUCGGCGUGGCCGGAGUCAAUUGAAGUGCAGCAGGUUUUCCCGCUGAGGAAGAGGAAUGCGAUGGUGAAGCCCUAUAUGGGGCGUAAUUUCAAAAAGCUGAGCAAGGAGGUGCAAACUGCUGUACUUGGUUAUUUAGAGGAGAGGGAGGUUGAUGAUGAACUUGCUGAGUUUCUACACCAGUACAUGGCAAACAAAGACAAGGUUGAGGUCCUUCGAUGGAUGAAGACUCUUGAGUCCUAUGUUCGGAAGUAGACAGGUUUAAUGAAACCAAAAAGCACAAUGGUGGAUGACCAAGUAUGGUGAGGGCUGUUCCGUUUUGCAUCAAGCAUCAUAUGGUCCCAUUUGAGUUCUCUACAAACGUACAACAUCAGAUCUCAUGCAUUAUGGAAUCAAAUUCCUGUUGAAUAAUGGAGUUGUUGAAGUGGAAUCCGAAGCACCUUCAUGAAUAGGACAUGAUGGAGUAUUGGACCUGAAGUCACUUUCCAAUUGCUUUUGGAGAUCAUUUGGCCUGCGGCGGCAUUUGGAUUCACUCAUGCACAUUCAUAACUCAUAAGCUGACAUGGAUGAAUACUCGUAUGAAACAAUUGGUAUACAGCUCCUGUACAUGGCAAAUGAUCUAGUCAUAACAAAGCUGGUAAUAAUUUGUAGACGACAUGAUCAAAGUCAUAACAAAGCUGCAGGUAAUAAUCUGUAGACGACCAGUACGUGUCCUAAGGCGUAUAGGCACGUGUACAAGCGAAUCGAUCUGUGAUCGACAUGUGGCAGACAUGUAGGAGACAGUAUAGCUUCACAAACUUCUUUUCUCCUUUACGACGUGCUAGCUGCUUCUCCUCUUUGAGAUAAGCUAGCAUUUGCUUUUUUUGUUUGGUCCUUUCUAUUUUCAUCACUUUAGCUUAAUUAAAUCCACUGACGCCAUGAUACCGCAACAUGAUUGGCUAUAAGUGGCUUCUAGUGCUUUUGAGACCC
Molecule: RNA transcript, 1485 nt
Organism: Asparagus officinalis (garden asparagus)
Lineage: Eukaryota; Viridiplantae; Streptophyta; Magnoliopsida; Asparagales; Asparagaceae
Exons: 8
Source: RefSeq, a predicted model, not a curated record